RNAcentral lists this ribosomal RNA (343 nucleotides) under uncultured rhodophyte. RNAcentral's name for it is "SSU rRNA". It matches the Rfam family "Eukaryotic small subunit ribosomal RNA", at positions 576 to 926 of the family's 1831-position model. Lineage: Eukaryota; Rhodophyta. The record is from RNAcentral.
GCGGUAAUUCCAGCUCCACCAGCGUAUACCCAAGUUGUUUCAGUUAAAACGCUCGUAGUCGGAGGUUGGCGGGCGAGCUGGGGCGUCUUCGCGGACGGACCUGGAUCGGCCGCCUUUGUGGAGGGGGGCACGUGGCCGCUUGAGUGCGGGCAUGUUGUCGCUGCCACCGUUUACUGUGAAAAAAUUAGAGUGUUCAAAGCGGGCGUUUGCCAUGAAUACCUUAGCAUGGAAUAAUAGAAUAGGACCUGUGUCCUGUUUUAUUGGUUUGUGAGGGCCGGGUAAUGAUUAAGAGGGACGGUUGGGGGCAUUUGUAUUCCGGCGUCAGAGGUGAAAUUCUCGGAUU